UCUCCGUUGGUGAACCAGCGGAGGGAUCAUUACCGAGUUAUACAACUCCCAAACCCAUGUGAACUUACCUGUCGUUGCUUCGGCGGACCGCCCCGGGGCCCAUCGGCCGCGGAUCUACGGCGCCCGCCAGAGGCCUUCGAACCCUGAAUGUUAGUGUCGUCUGAGUACUAUAAAAUAGUUAAAACUUUCAACAACGGAUCUCUUGGUUCUG
Molecule: unclassified non-coding RNA, 211 nt
Filed under: plant metagenome
Description: partial contains small subunit ribosomal RNA, internal transcribed spacer 1, and 5.8S ribosomal RNA
Source: RNAcentral